RNAcentral lists this ribosomal RNA (394 nucleotides) under uncultured bacterium. RNAcentral describes it as "partial 16S ribosomal RNA". It matches the Rfam family "Bacterial small subunit ribosomal RNA", at positions 338 to 724 of the family's 1533-position model. The record is from RNAcentral.
CCUACGGGCGGCAGCAGUGGGGAAUAUUGCACAAUGGGCGCAAGCCUGAUGCAGCCAUGCCGCGUGUAUGAAGAAGGCCUUCGGGUUGUAAAGUACUUUCAUCGGGGACGAAGGAAGUAAAGUUAACACCUUUACUCAUUGACGUUACCCGCAGAAGAAGCACCGGCUAACUCCGUGCCAGCAGCCGCGGUAAUACGGAGGGUGCAAGCGUUAAUCGGAGUUACUGGGGGUAAAGCGCACGCUGGCGGUUGGUGAAGUCAGAUGUGAAAUCCCUGGGCUCAACCUUGGAACUGCAUCUGAUACUGGCAAGCUUGAGUCUCGUAGAGGGGGGUAGAAUUCCAGGUGUAGCGGUGAAAUGCGUAGAGAUCUGGAGGAAUACCAGUGGCGAAGGCGG